This 2707-nucleotide ribosomal RNA is filed under the name Vibrio parahaemolyticus. RNAcentral's name for it is "bacterial LSU rRNA". It matches the Rfam family "Bacterial large subunit ribosomal RNA". The record is from RNAcentral. Lineage: Bacteria; Pseudomonadati; Pseudomonadota; Gammaproteobacteria; Vibrionales; Vibrionaceae.
GUACCCCGAGGAAAAGAAAUCAACCGAGAUUCCGAAAGUAGCGGCGAGCGAAAUUGGACUAGCCCUUAAGCUUUACACGUGUUAGACGAACGGUCUGGAAAGUCCGACGAUACAGGGUGAUAGUCCCGUAGUUGACGACGUGUGUUCAGUGAAAUCGAGUAGGGCGGGACACGUGAUAUCCUGUCUGAAUAUGGGGGGACCAUCCUCCAAGGCUAAAUACUACUGACUGACCGAUAGUGAACCAGUACCGUGAGGGAAAGGCGAAAAGAACCCCUGUGAGGGGAGUGAAAUAGAACCUGAAACCGUGUACGUACAAGCAGUAGGAGCAGGCUUUGUCCUGUGACUGCGUACCUUUUGUAUAAUGGGUCAGCGACUUAUAUUCAGUGGCAAGGUUAACCAUCUAGGGGAGCCGUAGGGAAACCGAGUCUUAACUGGGCGUUCAGUCUCUGGAUAUAGACCCGAAACCAGGUGAUCUAGCCAUGGGCAGGUUGAAGGUUGAGUAACAUCAACUGGAGGACCGAACCGACUAAUGUUGAAAAAUUAGCGGAUGACUUGUGGCUAGGGGUGAAAGGCCAAUCAAACCUGGAGAUAGCUGGUUCUCCCCGAAAGCUAUUUAGGUAGCGCCUCGGACGAAUACUACUGGGGGUAGAGCACUGUUAAGGCUAGGGGGUCAUCCCGACUUACCAACCCUUUGCAAACUCCGAAUACCAGUAAGUACUAUCCGGGAGACACACGGCGGGUGCUAACGUCCGUCGUGGAGAGGGAAACAACCCAGACCGCCAGCUAAGGUCCCAAAUUACUACUAAGUGGGAAACGAUGUGGGAAGGCUCAGACAGCCAGGAUGUUGGCUUAGAAGCAGCCAUCAUUUAAAGAAAGCGUAAUAGCUCACUGGUCGAGUCGGCCUGCGCGGAAGAUGUAACGGGGCUAAGUAGUAAACCGAAGCUGCGGCAAUGUGCUUUUGCACAUUGGGUAGGGGAGCGUUCUGUAAGCGGUUGAAGGUGUGUGGUAACGCAUGCUGGACGUAUCAGAAGUGCGAAUGCUGACAUGAGUAACGAUAAAGGGGGUGAAAAACCUCCUCGCCGGAAGACCAAGGGUUCCUGUCCAACGUUAAUCGGGGCAGGGUAAGUCGACCCCUAAGGCGAGGCCGAAAGGCGUAGUCGAUGGGAAACGGGUUAAUAUUCCCGUACUUCUUACAAUUGCGAUGGGGGGACGGAGAAGGCUAGGUGGGCCUGGCGACGGUUGUCCAGGUUCAAGUGCGUAGGCUUAAGAGUUAGGUAAAUCCGGCUCUUUUUAAGGCUGAGACACGACGUCGAGCAUCUACGGAUGUGAAGUCAUUGAUGCCAUGCUUCCAGGAAAAGCCUCUAAGCUUCAGAUUGUAAGGAAUCGUACCCCAAACCGACACAGGUGGUCGGGUAGAGAAUACCAAGGCGCUUGAGAGAACUCGGGUGAAGGAACUAGGCAAAAUGGUACCGUAACUUCGGGAGAAGGUACGCUCUCGACGGUGAAGUCCCUCGCGGAUGGAGCUAUUGAGAGUCGCAGAUACCAGGUGGCUGCAACUGUUUAUUAAAAACACAGCACUGUGCAAAAUCGUAAGAUGACGUAUACGGUGUGACGCCUGCCCGGUGCCGGAAGGUUAAUUGAUGGGGUUAGACUUCGGUCGAAGCUCUUGAUCGAAGCCCCGGUAAACGGCGGCCGUAACUAUAACGGUCCUAAGGUAGCGAAAUUCCUUGUCGGGUAAGUUCCGACCUGCACGAAUGGCGUAAUGAUGGCCACGCUGUCUCCACCCGAGACUCAGUGAAAUUGAAAUCGCUGUGAAGAUGCAGUGUACCCGCGGCUAGACGGAAAGACCCCGUGAACCUUUACUACAACUUGGCACUGAACAUUGACCCUACAUGUGUAGGAUAGGUGGGAGGCUUUGAAGCACGUACGCCAGUAUGUGUGGAGCCGUCCUUGAAAUACCACCCUUGUAGUGUUGAUGUUCUAACGUCGACCCCUUAUCGGGGUUGCGGACAGUGCCUGGUGGGUAGUUUGACUGGGGCGGUCUCCUCCCAAAGAGUAACGGAGGAGCACGAAGGUGGGCUAAUCACGGUUGGACAUCGUGAGGUUAGUGCAAUGGCAUAAGCCCGCUUGACUGCGAGAAUGACAAUUCGAGCAGGUGCGAAAGCAGGUCAUAGUGAUCCGGUGGUUCUGAAUGGAAGGGCCAUCGCUCAACGGAUAAAAGGUACUCCGGGGAUAACAGGCUGAUACCGCCCAAGAGUUCAUAUCGACGGCGGUGUUUGGCACCUCGAUGUCGGCUCAUCACAUCCUGGGGCUGAAGUCGGUCCCAAGGGUAUGGCUGUUCGCCAUUUAAAGUGGUACGCGAGCUGGGUUUAGAACGUCGUGAGACAGUUCGGUCCCUAUCUGCCGUGGGCGUUGGAAGAUUGAAGGGGGCUGCUCCUAGUACGAGAGGACCGGAGUGGACGAACCUCUGGUGUUCGGGUUGUGUCGCCAGACGCAUUGCCCGGUAGCUAAGUUCGGAAUCGAUAACCGCUGAAAGCAUCUAAGCGGGAAGCGAGCCCUGAGAUGAGUCUUCCCUGAUACUUUAAGUAUCCUAAAGGGUUGUCGGAGACUACGACGUUGAUAGGUCAGGUGUGUAAGUGCUGUGAGGCAUUGAGCUAACUGAUACUAAUUGCCCGUGAGGCUUAACCAUACAACACCUAAGGGGUUU